This 31-nucleotide non-coding RNA is filed under the name Mus musculus (house mouse). Lineage: Eukaryota; Metazoa; Chordata; Mammalia; Rodentia; Muridae. The record is from RNAcentral.
UCUGAAUCGCCUAUUUACCAACGUAACUAGA